CCUGCUAAGCUCUUGUAGCCUCGAGUCUGUCGGAAUCCAAAGUCUUCCUCACCCAGGAAGCCCAUCUUCUGUAAUCUUGGCUCCUGGGAGUCACUCAUGUUGCCCCAGAGUCCCCCAG
Sapajus apella (tufted capuchin) is the source of this 118-nucleotide long non-coding RNA. RefSeq lists it as uncharacterized. The transcript is spliced from 3 exons. The record is from RefSeq and is a predicted model, not a curated record. Lineage: Eukaryota; Metazoa; Chordata; Mammalia; Primates; Cebidae.